This is a non-coding RNA of Vicia faba (fava bean), 330 nucleotides long. The record is from the annotation of a GenBank genome assembly. NCBI's taxonomy places the organism in Eukaryota, Viridiplantae, Streptophyta, Magnoliopsida, Fabales, Fabaceae.
UCCCCACUUUCCCUCACCUUCUCUCUUUUUCCCGUCUACCAUUUUUCUCCACUUGUCUCUCUCUUUCUCUCUCUGAUCUUGCUCACUUCUUUCCUUUUUCUCCCUCUCUUCUUUUCCUCUUUCCCAACAAAACAGAAAAGGAGGAAGUUUGGGUCUGUUUCCCUUUCUGAUGAAAAACCCUCUAGAGAUGAACUCAAGUGUGGGAUGCUGAGUUUGUUAAGGUUGAGCAGGAAACAUUGUUUGAUCUUAUCUUGGUUGUGGCGUUGCUACUAUUGCAUCGUACGUCAAACUUCAAUGGUUGGUGAUGCAGAAUUGACACGUCAGUUUUGA